UACAGAGGGUGCGAGCGUUGAUCGGAAUUACUGGGCGUAAAGCGCACGUAGUCGGCUUUGCAAGUCGGUUGUGAAAUCCCCGGGCUCAACCUGGGAACUGCAUCCGAGACUGCAUUGCUAGAGUAUGGGAGAGGAAAGCGGAAUUUCUGGUGUAGCAGUGAAAUGCGUAGAUAUCAGAAGGAACAUCAGUGGCGAAGGCGGCUUUCUGGACCAAUACUGACGAUCAGGUGCGAAAGCGUGGGGAGCAAACAGG
This 253-nucleotide ribosomal RNA is filed under the name uncultured bacterium. RNAcentral describes it as "partial 16S ribosomal RNA". It matches the Rfam family "Bacterial small subunit ribosomal RNA", at positions 524 to 776 of the family's 1533-position model. The record is from RNAcentral.